This 254-nucleotide long non-coding RNA is filed under the name Rattus norvegicus (Norway rat). RNAcentral's name for it is "long non-coding RNA NONRATT016200". The record is from RNAcentral. Lineage: Eukaryota; Metazoa; Chordata; Mammalia; Rodentia; Muridae.
GUCUCACGGAGGUCCUGGGAAGGCGAAAUGGAGGGGUGUGUAUCUAACGUCAUGAUCUGUAACCUGGCCUACAACGGGAAGCUGGAUGAGUUGAAGGAAAGCAUUUUGGCUGAUAAAUCUCUGGCCACUAUAACUGAUCAGGAAAGCAGAACAGCAUUGCACUGGGCAUGCUCAGCUGGUCAUACAGAAAUUGUUGAAUUCUUGCUGCAACUUGGAGUGCCAGUGAAUGAUAAAGAUGAUGCAGGUUGGUCUCC